This 58-nucleotide transfer RNA is filed under the name Salmo salar (Atlantic salmon). It matches the Rfam family "tRNA", at positions 8 to 63 of the family's 71-position model. Rfam says of the family: Transfer RNA (tRNA) molecules are approximately 80 nucleotides in length. Their secondary structure includes four short double-helical elements and three loops (D, anti-codon, and T loops). RNAcentral also lists the same sequence under 1 other name. Lineage: Eukaryota; Metazoa; Chordata; Actinopteri; Salmoniformes; Salmonidae. The record is from Rfam by way of RNAcentral.
UGGCUCAGUUGGUAGAGCAUGGCACUUGAAAUGCUAGGGUUGUGGGUUUGAUUCCCAC